GACGAACGCUGGCGGCGUGCCUAAUACAUGCAAGUCGAACGCACUCUCGUUUAGAUUGAAGGAGCUUGCUCCUGAUUGAUAAACAUUUGAGUGAGUGGCGGACGGGUGAGUAACACGUGGGUAACCUGCCCUAAAGUGGGGGAUAACAUUUGGAAACAGAUGCUAAUACCGCAUAAAACCUAACACCGCAUGGUGUAGGGUUGAAAGAUGGUUUCGGCUAUCACUUUAGGAUGGACCCGCGGUGCAUUAGUUAGUUGGUGAGGUAAAGGCUCACCAAGACCGUGAUGCAUAGCCGACCUGAGAGGGUAAUCGGCCACACUGGGACUGAGACACGGCCCAGACUCCUACGGGAGGCAGCAGUAGGGAAUCCUCCACAAUGGACGAAAGUCUGAUGGAGCAACGCCGCGUGAGUGAAGAAGGUUUUCGGAUCGUAAAACUCUGUUGUUGGAGAAGAAUGUAUCUGAUAGUAACUGAUCAGGUAGUGACGGUAUCCAACCAGAAAGCC
RNAcentral lists this ribosomal RNA (505 nucleotides) under uncultured bacterium. RNAcentral describes it as "bacterial SSU rRNA". It matches the Rfam family "Bacterial small subunit ribosomal RNA", at positions 28 to 492 of the family's 1533-position model. The record is from RNAcentral.